Molecule: ribosomal RNA, 876 nt
Filed under: Pediococcus acidilactici
Lineage: Bacteria; Bacillati; Bacillota; Bacilli; Lactobacillales; Lactobacillaceae
Description: bacterial SSU rRNA
Rfam family: Bacterial small subunit ribosomal RNA
Source: RNAcentral
GUCGAACGAACUUCCGUUAAUUGAUUAUGACGUGCUUGCACUGAAUGAGAUUUUAACACGAAGUGAGUGGCGGACGGGUGAGUAACACGUGGGUAACCUGCCCAGAAGCAGGGGAUAACACCUGGAAACAGAUGCUAAUACCGUAUAACAGAGAAAACCGCCUGGUUUUCUUUUAAAAGAUGGCUCUGCUAUCACUUCUGGAUGGACCCGCGGCGCAUUAGCUAGUUGGUGAGGUAACGGCUCACCAAGGCGAUGAUGCGUAGCCGACCUGAGAGGGUAAUCGGCCACAUUGGGACUGAGACACGGCCCAGACUCCUACGGGAGGCAGCAGUAGGGAAUCUUCCACAAUGGACGCAAGUCUGAUGGAGCAACGCCGCGUGAGUGAAGAAGGGUUUCGGCUCGUAAAGCUCUGUUGUUAAAGAAGAACGUGGGUGAGAGUAACUGUUCACCCAGUGACGGUAUUUAACCAGAAAGCCACGGCUAACUACGUGCCAGCAGCCGCGGUAAUACGUAGGUGGCAAGCGUUAUCCGGAUUUAUUGGGCGUAAAGCGAGCGCAGGCGGUCUUUUAAGUCUAAUGUGAAAGCCUUCGGCUCAACCGAAGAAGUGCAUUGGAAACUGGGAGACUUGAGUGCAGAAGAGGACAGUGGAACUCCAUGUGUAGCGGUGAAAUGCGUAGAUAUAUGGAAGAACACCAGUGGCGAAGGCGGCUGUCUGGUCUGUAACUGACGCUGAGGCUCGAAAGCAUGGGUAGCGAACAGGAUUAGAUACCCUGGUAGUCCAUGCCGUAAACGAUGAUUACUAAGUGUUGGAGGGUUUCCGCCCUUCAGUGCUGCAGCUAACGCAUUAAGUAAUCCGCCUGGGGAGUACGACCGCAA